AAUUAGGAUUUUUUAAAAUCCCCACAUUAAGAAUGGGGAAUAUUAU
This is a non-coding RNA of Cricetulus griseus (Chinese hamster), 46 nucleotides long. Lineage: Eukaryota; Metazoa; Chordata; Mammalia; Rodentia; Cricetidae. The record is from Rfam.